This 492-nucleotide ribosomal RNA is filed under the name uncultured bacterium. RNAcentral's name for it is "partial 16S ribosomal RNA". It matches the Rfam family "Bacterial small subunit ribosomal RNA", at positions 29 to 507 of the family's 1533-position model. The record is from RNAcentral.
AGUGAACGCUGGCGGUAGGCCUAACACAUGCAAGUCGAACGGCAGCACAGUAAGAGCUUGCUCUUACGGGUGGCGAGUGGCGGACGGGUGAGGAAUACAUCGGAAUCUACUUUUUCGUGGGGGAUAACGUAGGGAAACUUACGCUAAUACCGCAUACGACCUACGGGUGAAAGCAGGGGAUCUUCGGACCUUGCGUGAUUGAAUGAGCCGAUGUCGGAUUAGCUAGUUGGCGGGGUAAAGGCCCACCAAGGCGACGAUCCGUAGCUGGUCUGAGCGGAUGAUCAGCCACACUGGAACUGAGACACGGUCCAGACUCCUACGGGAGGCAGCAGUGGGGAAUAUUGGACAAUGGGCGCAAGCCUGAUCCAGCCAUACCGCGUGGGUGAAGAAGGCCUUCGGGUUGUAAAGCCCUUUUGUUGGGAAAGAAAAGCAGCAGGUUAAUACCCUGCUGUUCUGACGGUACCCAAAGAAUAAGCACCGGCUAACUUCGUG